This is a non-coding RNA of Coturnix japonica (Japanese quail), 1671 nucleotides long. Lineage: Eukaryota; Metazoa; Chordata; Aves; Galliformes; Phasianidae. The record is from RefSeq and is a predicted model, not a curated record.
ACCCGAUGCCGUGGCCGACGAAGAAGGGGCACACCUGGAAGCCACCCCGCUGUGCCACAGUGCUGCAGGGCAAAGAGGACACGGAACGAGCUACAUUUCGCAACAGAUAGGUCACCUGUAGGCUGCACGUGCGAGAAUGAGACCAGAAAUGCAAAACACCGGAGGGAGGAAAAAAAGAAAGCACGAAAGACUGCAAGGUGCAUAAGGGUUGCCAAUUAAAAACACGACACAUGCAGAAGUUGUGCGUGAUCGCCUAGCAGAGCACAGGAGGACACAUGGAUGAUGGGAUGGGAGUAUGCCAGAAGCUAGCAGGGGGCCAUGGGGUCACUCAGGGCCAACAGGGUCCCUAGGCCGGGAUGGGGAGAGCUGCCAGCCCAUCAGCAGUGGUUGGGAGACCUAUCCCCAUGCCCCCACACCAGUAUGGUGAGGUUCUGCACAGGCAGAAGGUGCAGCAACCUGUUGUACUAAUGACCUGCUGGCUUUCUGUAUGGUUGUUUUUUUGACAUUUCAUAGACUCAGACCUCAGCUCUUCUGAAGUUCCCUCUCGGGCAGAGUUCUGCAGCGUGGUGUGGAAAGGGGUUUUGCAGCUCUGCAGCACAGCGGGAGGCACACAACUGUGGGAGCAAGCCAAAUUUCCCUACCAAAAGACAAAUUGUAAUGCAGCACAGUUUUGAUCUUCUAAAACAUUUUUUUCCCCAAACAGUGGACAACUAUCCUCCUGGGACUAAUGACUCACCAAGACUGAAGCACUGAACUUUUGCCACUUGCAGGCUAUUUGUGAAAGACACAGACUCACAUUCCUUUUGGUCAAUUGCAAAUGGAAAAAAAAAAAUAAAUUGGCUACAGACGGUUUAUCUCAGGGCCAGGUUUGUGUUGGGGGGGAGAUGUAAAGAAAAUGCAGGCAGCUGCCGGCACACAGCACUGCACAGGACAGUGAAUGGCAGCGAGGAUCCAACUUUGCAGUCCUCCCAGCGCACACCUCCCUCUGCCAGCUGGAGCUGCUGCUAGAUGUGCUUUUACAAUUUAAUGCCUGUUGGAGAGGUUUCACUCCAGCCAGUUCGUAUGUAAGCCAAAUGAGUUCAGUUGUAGCUCUAGCAAGUACGGCGUUAAAAACCAAACAAAAACAUUACACUUCAUCAUCCCGGAGAAAUGAGUACAGAUCUAAAACACUGCAGAGCUUAAAAAUAAUUGCAUUUACAGCUGGCCAUCAACUGCAAUUAUGUAUUUUUAACAUUAAUAAACUACAACCACAGCAACUGUAACAUACUAAUUCCUUAAAAGUCAAUGAAAGAUUUGAGUUGUAAGAAGCUUUACCUGCCAAUAGCUGGCUGGAAAUUGUGCAGUGCUGACAGUUCACCGAUGCAUAAUGCUUCUGUUUCUACACUUAAAUACAUUCUAAAGGCUACACGAUGAAGCCAAUAAAUUUUGUAUUUCACCUAUGAAAUUCUACCAUCUUAAUUGUGCAAAAAUAGAUUUUUUUCUUCAAAUAAUUUGUACGUCGUGCAAAGUGUUUAUAGUUAAUAACCAGAAUAUUAUUUAAUCAUUUUAUAGAACCUGUAUGCAAUUAUAAACAAUUUGUUGUGGCGUAUUUACUUUGAUUUUUACACCGUUCCCCUGUGAAACAUCCCAAUUUUGCUCAUUAAAAAUAAAUUAAAAAAUCAAUUAGCAACA